This 70-nucleotide transfer RNA is filed under the name Boulengerula taitana (Taita Mountains caecilian). RNAcentral's name for it is "tRNA-Asn". Lineage: Eukaryota; Metazoa; Chordata; Amphibia; Gymnophiona; Herpelidae. The record is from RNAcentral.
UAGGUUGAAGUUUAUUAGUAUCGCUUAGCUGUUAACUAAGAAGGUGUAGGAUAAAAGCCUACCAAUCUAG